This 433-nucleotide ribosomal RNA is filed under the name uncultured bacterium. Its description in RNAcentral is "partial 16S ribosomal RNA". It matches the Rfam family "Bacterial small subunit ribosomal RNA", at positions 29 to 507 of the family's 1533-position model. The record is from RNAcentral.
AGCGAACGCUGGCGGCAGGCCUAACACAUGCAAGUCGAACGAAUGCUUCGGGCUUACUGGUGGACUGGUGGGCGACACGUGGGAACAUGCCUUUGAGUUUGGAAUGACUCAGGGAAACAUGUCCUAAUACGGAAUGUGCUCCUGCGGGGGAAGAGUGAUCGCCAUUGGAGCGGCCUGCGACCGAUUAGUUUGUUGGUGAGGUAACGGCUCACCAAGGGGACGUUGAGUAACUGGUUUGAGAGGAUGACCAGCCACACUGGGCCUGAGACACGGACGAGACUCCUACGGGAAGCAGCAGUGGGGAAUCUUGCGCAAUGGGCGAGAGCGUGACGCAGCCAUGCCGCGUGAAUGAUGAAGGUCUGAGGAUUGUAAAAUUCUUUCAACGGGGACGAUAAUGACGGUACCCGGAGAAGAAGCCCCGGCUAACUUCGUG